This 500-nucleotide ribosomal RNA is filed under the name uncultured bacterium. RNAcentral describes it as "bacterial SSU rRNA". It matches the Rfam family "Bacterial small subunit ribosomal RNA", at positions 28 to 517 of the family's 1533-position model. The record is from RNAcentral.
GAUGAACGCUAGCUACAGGCUUAACACAUGCAAGUCGAGGGGCAGCAUGAUUUGUAGCAAUACAGAUUGAUGGCGACCGGCGCACGGGUGAGUAACGCGUAUGCAACUUACCUAUCAGAGGGGGAUAGCCCGGCGAAAGUCGGAUUAAUACCCCAUAAAACAGGGGUCCCGCAUGGGAAUAUUUGUUAAAGAUUCAUCGCUGAUAGAUAGGCAUGCGUUCCAUUAGGCAGUUGGCGGGGUAACGGCCCACCAAACCGACGAUGGAUAGGGGUUCUGAGAGGAAGGUCCCCCACAUUGGUACUGAGACACGGACCAAACUCCUACGGGAGGCAGCAGUGAGGAAUAUUGGUCAAUGGCCGAGAGGCUGAACCAGCCAAGUCGCGUGAAGGAAGAAGGAUCUAUGGUUUGUAAACUUCUUUAUAGGGGAAUAAAGUGGAGGACGUGUCCUUUUUUGUAUGUACCCUAUGAAUAAGCAUCGGCUAACUCCGUGCCAGCAGCCG